GCAUAUCAAUAAGCGGAGGAAAAGAAACCAACCGGGAUUGCCUCAGUAACGGCGAGUGAAGCGGCAAGAGCUCAAAUUUGAAAGCUGGCUCCUUCGGGGUCCGCAUUGUAAUUUGCAGAGGAUGCUUCGGGUGCGGCCCCUGUCUAAGUGCCCUGGAACGGGCCGUCAGAGAGGGUGAGAAUCCCGUCUGGGAUGGGGUGUCCGCGCCCGUGUGAAGCUCCUUCGACGAGUCGAGUUGUUUGGGAAUGCAGCUCUAAAUGGGUGGUAAAUUUCAUCUAAAGCUAAAUACUGGCCGGAGACCGAUAGCGCACAAGUAGAGUGAUCGAAAGAUGAAAAGCACUUUGAAAAGAGAGUUAAAAAGCACGUGAAAUUGUUGAAAGGGAAGCGCUUGCGACCAGACUCGCCUCCAGGGUUCAGCCGGCAUUCGUGCCGGUGUACUUCCCAGGGGGCGGGCCAGCGUCGGUUUGGGCGGCCGGUCAAAGGCUCCCGGAAUGUAGUGCCCUCCGGGGCACCUUAUAGCCGGGAGUGCAAUGCGGCCAGCCUGGGCCGAGGAACGCGCUUCGGCACGGACGCUGGCAUAAUGGUCGUAAACGACCCGUCUUGAAACACGGACC
RNAcentral lists this ribosomal RNA (614 nucleotides) under Aspergillus oryzae. Its description in RNAcentral is "eukaryotic LSU rRNA". It matches the Rfam family "Eukaryotic large subunit ribosomal RNA", at positions 38 to 667 of the family's 3401-position model. Lineage: Eukaryota; Fungi; Ascomycota; Eurotiomycetes; Eurotiales; Aspergillaceae. The record is from RNAcentral.